This 1415-nucleotide ribosomal RNA is filed under the name metagenome. RNAcentral describes it as "bacterial LSU rRNA". It matches the Rfam family "Bacterial large subunit ribosomal RNA", at positions 1495 to 2883 of the family's 2925-position model. The record is from RNAcentral.
UCGACGGUUGUCCCGGUUUAAGCGUGUAGGCUGGUUUUCCAGGCAAAUCCGGAAAAUCAAGGCUGAGGCGUGAUGACGAGGCACUACGGUGCUGAAGCAACAAAUGCCCUGCUUCCAGGAAAAGCCUCUAAGCAUCAGGUAACAUCAAAUCGUACCCCAAACCGACACAGGUGGUCAGGUAGAGAAUACCAAGGCGCUUGAGAGAACUCGGGUGAAGGAACUAGGCAAAAUGGUGCCGUAACUUCGGGAGAAGGCACGCUGAUAUGUAGGUGAAGCGACUUGCUCGUGGAGCUGAAAUCAGUCGAAGAUACCAGCUGGCUGCAACUGUUUAUUAAAAACACAGCACUGUGCAAACACGAAAGUGGACGUAUACGGUGUGACGCCUGCCCGGUGCCGGAAGGUUAAUUGAUGGGGUUAGCCGCAAGGCGAAGCUCUUGAUCGAAGCCCCGGUAAACGGCGGCCGUAACUAUAACGGUCCUAAGGUAGCGAAAUUCCUUGUCGGGUAAGUUCCGACCUGCACGAAUGGCGUAAUGAUGGCCAGGCUGUCUCCACCCGAGACUCAGUGAAAUUGAACUCGCUGUGAAGAUGCAGUGUACCCGCGGCAAGACGGAAAGACCCCGUGAACCUUUACUAUAGCUUGACACUGAACAUUGAGCCUUGAUGUGUAGGAUAGGUGGGAGGCUUUGAAGUGUGGACGCCAGUCUGCAUGGAGCCGACCUUGAAAUACCACCCUUUAAUGUUUGAUGUUCUAACGUUGACCCGUAAUCCGGGUUGCGGACAGUGUCUGGUGGGUAGUUUGACUGGGGCGGUCUCCUCCUAAAGAGUAACGGAGGAGCACGAAGGUUGGCUAAUCCUGGUCGGACAUCAGGAGGUUAGUGCAAUGGCAUAAGCCAGCUUGACUGCGAGCGUGACGGCGCGAGCAGGUGCGAAAGCAGGUCAUAGUGAUCCGGUGGUUCUGAAUGGAAGGGCCAUCGCUCAACGGAUAAAAGGUACUCCGGGGAUAACAGGCUGAUACCGCCCAAGAGUUCAUAUCGACGGCGGUGUUUGGCACCUCGAUGUCGGCUCAUCACAUCCUGGGGCUGAAGUAGGUCCCAAGGGUAUGGCUGUUCGCCAUUUAAAGUGGUACGCGAGCUGGGUUUAGAACGUCGUGAGACAGUUCGGUCCCUAUCUGCCGUGGGCGCUGGAGAACUGAGGGGGGCUGCUCCUAGUACGAGAGGACCGGAGUGGACGCAUCACUGGUGUUCGGGUUGUCAUGCCAAUGGCACUGCCCGGUAGCUAAAUGCGGAAGAGAUAAGUGCUGAAAGCAUCUAAGCACGAAACUUGCCCCAAGAUGAGUUCUCCCUGACUCCUUGAGAGUCCUGAAGGAACGUUGAAGACGACGACGUUGAUAGGCCGGGUGUGUAAGCGCAGCGAUG